GUGCCUUCGGGAACUCUAAGACAGGUGCUGCAUGGCUGUCGUCAGCUCGUGUUGUGAAAUGUUGGGUUAAGUCCCGCAACGAGCGCAACCCUUAUCCUUGUUUGCCAGCGAGUCAUGUCGGGACCUCCAGGGAGACUGCCGGUGAUAAACCGGAGGAAGGUGGGGACGACGUCAAGUCAUCAUGGCCCUUACGAGUAGGGCUACACACGUGCUACAAUGGCGCAUACAGAGGGCAGCAAGCUAGCGAUAGUGAGCGAAUCCCAAAAAGUGCGUCGUAGUCCGGAUUGGAGUCUGCAACUCGACUCCAUGAAGUCGGAAUCGCUAGUAAUCGUAGAUCAGAAUGCUACGGUGAAUACGUUCCCGGGCCUUGUACACACCGCCCGUCACACCAUGGGAGUGGGCUGCAAAAGAAGUGGGUAGUUUAACCUUUCGGGGAGGACGCUCACCACUUUGUGGUUCAUGACUGGGGUGAAGUCGUAACAAGGUAGCGCUAGGGGAACCUGGCGCUGGAUCACCUCCUUAUACGAAGAU
This 531-nucleotide ribosomal RNA is filed under the name Vibrio ordalii FS-144. RNAcentral describes it as "bacterial SSU rRNA". It matches the Rfam family "Bacterial small subunit ribosomal RNA", at positions 1014 to 1533 of the family's 1533-position model. Lineage: Bacteria; Pseudomonadati; Pseudomonadota; Gammaproteobacteria; Vibrionales; Vibrionaceae. The record is from RNAcentral.